This 26-nucleotide non-coding RNA is filed under the name Mus musculus (house mouse). The record is from RNAcentral. Lineage: Eukaryota; Metazoa; Chordata; Mammalia; Rodentia; Muridae.
UGGGACUAAAGGCAUGUGCCACCACU